This 502-nucleotide ribosomal RNA is filed under the name uncultured bacterium. RNAcentral describes it as "partial 16S ribosomal RNA". It matches the Rfam family "Bacterial small subunit ribosomal RNA", at positions 30 to 523 of the family's 1533-position model. The record is from RNAcentral.
AUUGAACGCUGGCGGCAGGCUUAACACAUGCAGUCGAGCGGGGUGAUGGUGCUUGCACUAUCACUUAGCGGCGGACGGGUGAGUAAUGCUUAGGAAUCUGCCUAUUAGUGGGGGACAACAUCUCGAAAGGGAUGCUAAUACCGCAUACGUCCUACGGGAGAAAGCAGGGGAUCACUUGUGACCUUGCGCUAAUAGAUGAGCCUAAGUCGGAUUAGCUAGUUGGUGGGGUAAAGGCCUACCAAGGCGACGAUCUGUAGCGGGUCUGAGAGGAUGAUCCGCCAAACUGGGACUGAGACACGGCCCAGACUCCUACGGGAGGCAGCAGUGGGGAAUAUUGGACAAUGGGGGGAACCCUGAUCCAGCCAUGCCGCGUGUGUGGAGAAGGCCUUAUGGUUGUAAAGCACUUUAAGCGAGGAGGAGGCUCUUUUGGUUAAUACCCAAGAUGAGUGGACGUUACUCGCAGAAUAAGCACCGGCUAACUCUGUGCCAGCCGCCGCAGUAA